AAAGCUCUUUCGGCCGGGAAGAAAUCGCAUCAGCUAAUACCCUGUGUGGAUGACGGUACCGGAAUAAGAAGCACCGGCUAACUACGUGCCAGCAGCCGCGGUAAUACGUAGGGUGCGAGCGUUAAUCGGAAUUACUGGGCGUAAAGCGUGCGCAGGCGGUUUAGUAAGACAGGCGUGAAAUCCCCGGGCUCAACCUGGGAACUGCGCUUGUGACUGCUAAGCUAGAGUACGGCAGAGGGGGGUGGAAUUCCACGUGUAGCAGUGAAAUGCGUAGAGAUGUGGAGGAACACCGAUGGCGAAGGCAGCCCCCUGGGCCGAUACUGACGCUCAUGCACGAAAGCGCCACGCCCUAAACGAUGUCAACUAGGUGUUGGGAGGGUAAAACCUUUUAGUACCGGAGCUAACGCGUGAAGUUGACCGCCUGGGGAGUACGGCCGCAAGGUUAAAACUCAAAGGAAUUGACGGGGACCCGCACAAGCGGUGGAUGAUGUGGAUUAAUUCGAUGCAACGCGAAAAACCUUACCUACCCUUGACAUGUCCAGAAGCUCUUAGAGAUUUGAGUGUGCCCGAAAGGGAGCUGGAACACAGGUGCUGCAUGGCUGUCGUCAGCUCGUGUCGUGAGAUGUUGGGUUAAGUCCCGCAACGAGCGCAACCCUUGUCGUUAAUUGCCAUCAUUUAGUUGGGCACUUUAACGAGACUGCCGGUGACAAACCGGAGGAAGGUGGGGCCAAGCCGCGAGGUGGAGCCAAUCCCAGAAAGCCGAUCGUAGUCCGGAUUGCAGGCUGCAACUCGCCUGCAUGAAGUCGGAAUCGCUAGUAAUCGCGGAUCAGCAUGUCGCGGUGAAUACGUUCCCGGGUCUUGUACACACCGCCCGUCACACCAUGGGAGCGGGUUCCGCCAGAAGUAGGUAGCCUAACCGCAAGGGGGGCGCUUACCACGGCGGGGUUCGUGACUGGGGUGAAGUCGUAACAAGGUAGCCGUAGGGGAACCUGCGGCUGGAUCACCUCC
RNAcentral lists this ribosomal RNA (1008 nucleotides) under Dechloromonas sp. CL24+. Its description in RNAcentral is "bacterial SSU rRNA". It matches the Rfam family "Bacterial small subunit ribosomal RNA", at positions 427 to 1530 of the family's 1533-position model. Lineage: Bacteria; Pseudomonadati; Pseudomonadota; Betaproteobacteria; Rhodocyclales; Azonexaceae. The record is from RNAcentral.